Molecule: small nuclear RNA, 135 nt
Organism: Toxotes jaculatrix (banded archerfish)
Lineage: Eukaryota; Metazoa; Chordata; Actinopteri; Toxotidae
Product: U11 spliceosomal RNA
Exons: 1
Source: RefSeq, a predicted model, not a curated record
AAAAAGGGCUUCUGCUAUGUAUAGCACAGGAGGGGUGGUGAUUACCACACUUCUUGCGGAAUCGCCAUCAAGAGAUUUCGGAAGCACAAUUUUUUUAACCAGGGGCUGCUAGUGAUCUUUUGUCCUGGCGUCCCG